This 119-nucleotide ribosomal RNA is filed under the name Miamiensis avidus. RNAcentral's name for it is "5.8S ribosomal RNA". It matches the Rfam family "5.8S ribosomal RNA", at positions 1 to 116 of the family's 154-position model. From Rfam's summary of the family: 5.8S ribosomal RNA (5.8S rRNA) is a component of the large subunit of the eukaryotic ribosome. The record is from RNAcentral. Lineage: Eukaryota; Ciliophora; Oligohymenophorea; Philasterida; Glauconematidae.
AAAAAUUUUCAACGGUGGAUAUCUUGGUUCCCAUAACGAUGAAGAACGCAGCCAAAUGCGAUACGCAAUGCGAAUUGCAGAAUUCCGCGAGUCAUCAGAUCUUUGAACGCAAAUGGCGC